Molecule: long non-coding RNA, 969 nt
Organism: Oncorhynchus keta (chum salmon)
Lineage: Eukaryota; Metazoa; Chordata; Actinopteri; Salmoniformes; Salmonidae
Exons: 6
Source: RefSeq, a predicted model, not a curated record
GUAGACUCGGUACCAGGCCCUGUUCAGCAUGGACAAGGUUAGUAGUAGACUCGGUACCAGGCCCUGUUCAGCAUGGACAAGGUUGUUAGUAGUAGUAGACUCGGUACCAGGCCCUGUUCAGGAUGGACAAGGUUGUUAGUAGUAGUAGACUCGGUACCAGGCCCUGUUCAGGAUGGACAAGGUUAGUAGUAGUAGUAGUAGACUCGGUACCAGGCCCUGUUCAGGAUGGACAAGGUUAGUAGUAGUUGUAGUAGACUCGGUACCAGGCCCUGUUCAGCAUGAACAAGGUUGUUAGUAGUAGACUCGGUACCAGGCCCUGUUCAGGAUGGACAAGGUUAGUAGUAGUUGUAGUAGACUCGGUACCAGGCCCUGUUCAGCAUGGACAAGGUUAGUAGUAGUUGAAGUAGACUCGGUACCAGGCCCUGUUCAGGAUGGACAAGGUUAGUAGUAGUUGUAGUAGACUCGGUACCAGGCCCUGUUCAGCAUGAACAAGGUUGUUAGUAGUAGUUGUAGUAGACUCGGUACCAGGCCCUGUUCAGCAUGAACAAGGUUGUUAGUAGUAGUUGUAGUAGACUCGGUACCAGGCCCUGUUCAGCAUGAACAAGGUUGUUAGUAGUAGUUGUAGUAGACUCUGUACCAGGCCCUGUUCAGCAUGAACAAGGUUGUUAGUAGUAGUUGUAGUAGACUCGGUACCAGGCCCUGUUCAGCAUGAACAAGUUUGUUAGUAGUAGUAGUAGUAGACUCUGUACCAGGCCCUGUUCAGCAUGAACAAGGGUAGUUGUAGUAGACUCUGUACCAGACCCUGUUCAGCAUGGACAAGGUUGUUAGUAGUAGUUGUAGUAGACUCGGUACCAGGCCCUGUUCAGCAUGGACAAGGUUGUUAGUAGUAGUUGUAGUAGACUUGGUACCAGGCCCUGUUCAGCAUGAACAAGAGUAGUUGUAGUAGACUCGGUACCAGGCCCUGUUCAG